Molecule: ribosomal RNA, 440 nt
Filed under: uncultured bacterium
Lineage: Bacteria
Description: partial 16S ribosomal RNA
Rfam family: Bacterial small subunit ribosomal RNA
Source: RNAcentral
CCUACGGGGUGCAGCAGUGGGGGAUAUUGCACAAUGGGGGGAACCCUGAUGCAGCGACGCCGCGUGGGUGAAGAAGCGCCUCGGCGCGUAAAGCCCUGUCAGCAGGGAAGAAAAUGACGGUACCUGAAGAAGAAGCCCCGGCUAACUACGUGCCAGCAGCCGCUGUAAUACGUAGGGGGCAAGCGUUAUCCGGAUUUACUGGGUGGAAAGGGGGCGCAGACGGCGAUGCAAGCCAGGAGUGAAAGCCCGGGGCCCAACCCCGGGACUGCUCUUGGAACUGCGUGGCUGGAGUGCAGGAGGGGCAGGCGGAAUUCCUGGUGGAGCGGUGAAAUGCGUAGAUAUCAGGAGGAACACCGGUGGCGAAGGCGGCCUGCUGGACUGCAACUGACGUUGAGGCCCGAAAGCGUGGGGAGCAAACAGGAUUAGAUACCCUAGUAGUC